UAAUUAAUAUACUGGCCGAAUACCGUGAAGAAGAGUAACAUUUUUUGAGAAGAAGAAGAGGAAGAAAACCACUAAUAACAAACAUG
This is a long non-coding RNA of Sphaeramia orbicularis (orbiculate cardinalfish), 86 nucleotides long. RefSeq lists it as uncharacterized. The transcript has 3 exons. The record is from RefSeq and is a predicted model, not a curated record. Lineage: Eukaryota; Metazoa; Chordata; Actinopteri; Kurtiformes; Apogonidae.